GACGAACGCUGGCGGCGUGCUUAACACAUGCAAGUCGAACGGAAAGGCCCUGCUUUUGUGGGGUGAUCGAGUGGCGAACGGGUGAGUAACACGUGAGUAACCUGACCUUGACUUUGGGAUAACUUCAGGUAACUGGGGUUAAUCCCGGAUAGGAGCUCCCGUUGCGUGGUGGGGGUUGGAAAGUUUCGGCGGGUGGGGUUGGACUCGCGGCUUAUCAGCUUGUUGGUGGGGUAGUGGCUUACCAAGGCAUUGACGGGUAGCCGGCCUGAGAGGGGGACCGGCCACAUUGGGACUGAGAUACGGCCCAGACUCCUACGUGAGGCAGCAGUGGGGAAUAUUGCACAAUGGGCGGAAGCCUGAUGCAGCAACGCCGCGUUCGGGAUGACGGCCUUCGGGUUGUAAACCGCUUUCGCCUGUGACGAAGCGUUAGUGACGGUAAUGGGUAAAGAAGCACCGGCUAACUACGUG
Molecule: ribosomal RNA, 468 nt
Filed under: uncultured bacterium
Lineage: Bacteria
Description: partial 16S ribosomal RNA
Rfam family: Bacterial small subunit ribosomal RNA
Source: RNAcentral